Small nucleolar RNA from Corylus avellana, 153 nucleotides. RefSeq annotates it as small nucleolar RNA snoR2/U65. NCBI's taxonomy places the organism in Eukaryota, Viridiplantae, Streptophyta, Magnoliopsida, Fagales, Betulaceae. The record is from RefSeq and is a predicted model, not a curated record.
GGUCCGAUGCCACGUCGCCUAGAGCUUCAACAGCGUUGAUCGGCGAUGCUACGAUUGGACCGAAAGCGAUUCCAUGUUUCGCACCUUGAUAGGAACCUGUGGAUCUGGUUCUUACACCGUUGGUCCACGGAGCCGUUUUCUGCGAUUACAUUU